GUUCCCAUGGUGUAGUGGGUAACACGUCUGACUAGUACUUUUCUGGGGGACCCGGUUCGAUACCUUUCGUCGGAAGA
Meloidogyne enterolobii is the source of this 77-nucleotide non-coding RNA. The record is from the annotation of a GenBank genome assembly. NCBI's taxonomy places the organism in Eukaryota, Metazoa, Nematoda, Chromadorea, Rhabditida, Meloidogynidae.